RNAcentral lists this ribosomal RNA (374 nucleotides) under uncultured bacterium. RNAcentral describes it as "bacterial SSU rRNA". It matches the Rfam family "Bacterial small subunit ribosomal RNA", at positions 524 to 898 of the family's 1533-position model. The record is from RNAcentral.
UACGUAGGGUGCAAGCGUUAAUCGGAAUUACUGGGCGUAAAGCGUGCGCAGGCGGUUUUGUAAGACAGAGGUGAAAUCCCCGGGCUCAACCUGGGAACUGCCUUUGUGACUGCAAGGCUGGAGUGCGGCAGAGGGGGAUGGAAUUCCGCGUGUAGCAGUGAAAUGCGUAGAUAUGCGGAGGAACACCGAUGGCGAAGGCAAUCCCCUGGGCCUGCACUGACGCUCAUGCACGAAAGCGUGGGGAGCAAACAGGAUUAGAUACCCUGGUAGUCCACGCCCUAAACGAUGUCAACUGGUUGUUGGGAAUUUACUUUCUCAGUAACGAAGCUAACGCGUGAAGUUGACCGCCUGGGGAGUACGGCCGCAAGGUUAAA